This 582-nucleotide ribosomal RNA is filed under the name uncultured Variovorax sp. RNAcentral's name for it is "bacterial SSU rRNA". It matches the Rfam family "Bacterial small subunit ribosomal RNA", at positions 338 to 896 of the family's 1533-position model. The record is from RNAcentral. Lineage: Bacteria; Pseudomonadati; Pseudomonadota; Betaproteobacteria; Burkholderiales; Comamonadaceae.
CCUACGGGAGGCAGCAGUGGGGAAUUUUGGACAAUGGGCGAAAGCCUGAUCCAGCAAUGCCGCGUGCAGGAUGAAGGCCUUCGGGUUGUAAACUGCUUUUGUACGGAACGAAACGGUUCUUUCUAAUAAAGAGAGCUAAUGACGGUACCGUAAGAAUAAGGCACCGGCUAACUACGUGCCAGUCGCCGCCGUAAUACCUAUGGUGCAAGCGUUAAUCCGGAAUUACUUGGGCGUAAAUCCGUGCGCAGGCUGGUUAUGUUAAGACAGUUGUGCAAUGCCCCGGGCUCAACCUGGGAAAUGCAUCUGUAACUUGCCAAUAGCUAGCAUACGGUAGAGGGGGAUGGAUUCCCGCGUGUAGCAGUGAAAUGCGUAGAUAUGCGGAGGAACACCGAUGGCGACAAGGCAAUCCCCUGGACCUGUACCUAGACGCUCAUGCACGAAAGCGUGGGGAGCAAACAGGAUUAGAUACCCUGGUAGUCCACGCCCUAAACGAUGUCAACUGGUUGUUGGGUCUUCACUGACUCAGUCCACGAAGCUACACGCGUGAAGUUGACCGCCUGGGGAGUACGGCCGGCAAGGUUG